AACGCACAUUGCGCCCCUUGGUAUUCCAUGGGGCAUGCCUGUUCGAGCGUCAUUUACACCCUCAAGCUCUGCUUGGUGUUGGGCGUCUGUCCCGCUUCGUGCGCGGACUCGCCCCAAAGGUAUUGGCAGCGGUCUUGCCAGCUUCUCGCGCAGCACAUUGCGCUUCUCGAGGCUCCGGCGGAUCGGCGUCCAUCAAGCCCACAUCACAGUUUGACCUCGGAUCAGGUAGGGAUACCCGCUGAACUUAA
RNAcentral lists this unclassified non-coding RNA (248 nucleotides) under Kriegeria sp. (in: rust fungi & allies). Its description in RNAcentral is "Kriegeria sp. (in: basidiomycete fungi) partial contains 5.8S ribosomal RNA, internal transcribed spacer 2, and large subunit ribosomal RNA". The record is from RNAcentral. Lineage: Eukaryota; Fungi; Basidiomycota; Microbotryomycetes; Kriegeriales; Kriegeriaceae.